UGGGGAAUCUUGCGCAAUGGACGAAAGUCUGAUCUAGCAACACCGCGUGUGCGAAGAAGGCCUUCGGGUUGUGAAGCACUUUUUGGAAGGAUUAGGAAGGAAUGUACUUCCAGAAUAAGUCUCGGCUAACUACGUGCCAGCAGCCGCGGUAACACGUAGGAGGCGAGCGUUAUUCGGAUUUACUGGGCGUAAAGCGCGUGCAGGCGGCUCGAUAAGUUGGAUGUGAAAGCUCCCGGCUUAACUGGGAGAGGUCGUUCAAUACUGUCGGGCUAGAGGAUGAGAGAGGGAGGUGGAAUUCCGAGUGUAGUGGUGGAAUGCGUAGAUAUUCGGAGGAACACCAGUGGCGAAAGCGGCCUCCUGGACCAUUCCUGACACUCAGACACGAAAGCUAAGGUAGCAAACG
RNAcentral lists this ribosomal RNA (403 nucleotides) under uncultured prokaryote. RNAcentral describes it as "bacterial SSU rRNA". It matches the Rfam family "Bacterial small subunit ribosomal RNA", at positions 355 to 774 of the family's 1533-position model. The record is from RNAcentral.